GCUUGUUGUGAUUCAGUUAGAAAACUUCGGUUUCGAAAUAAGAAGUGGAAAUCAAUGAAAGAAAACUGGAAAAAAUGUGUAGAUACAAAAACAGGAGAAGAGGAGUGUAGCUUGGAUUCUGAAUUCUAUAAUUGAGUAAAUAAACUUUUUAUUUUAUUCUAGUUGGACAAAAUCAAAAUAGUGAAUAGAGUGAUGUGAAAA
Long non-coding RNA from Portunus trituberculatus (swimming crab), 201 nucleotides. RefSeq lists it as uncharacterized. The transcript has 2 exons. The record is from RefSeq and is a predicted model, not a curated record. NCBI's taxonomy places the organism in Eukaryota, Metazoa, Arthropoda, Malacostraca, Decapoda, Portunidae.